GUCAAUGAUGUCGAAGUAUUUCAGCGAGUUACGUUGUAACUACGAACUGGCGAGAUGAGCUCGGCUUUAAGAAAAGAGAGUAAAAAAUGAAACUAACUCAACACUUAUCUUGUUUAUACGUGAGUUCCUUUGUUUGAUGUCGAUGAGCUACGAGGUUAGCUCAACUAUGCAUGGUUUCCUUUGGCGAGGUCAGCUGGGUUCUUAACAUUGCCGAGCUGCUUUGGGGUGUAGAAAAUCUUCUUGCCCCCCUACCUGGCGCGCCAUUUGUUGAACGUGGAUUCGCACGGGUCAAACAAGUCAACUUAUGUUGGAGAGUUUGGAGAUUUUCUGUUAAAUUAAGCUUAGGUCGACAACGAAAUAAGAACAAAGUUUAAGACAUGGUGAGGUGAGUUUGACGAGGUGGCGAGGUGAGUUUGACGAGGUGGCGAGGUGAGGUGAGUUUGACGAGGUGGCGAGGUGAGGUGAGUUUGGCGAGGUGACGAGGUGAGGUGAGCUUGACGAGGUGAUGAGGUGAGAUCAGCUUGACGAG
RNAcentral lists this long non-coding RNA (529 nucleotides) under Eutrema salsugineum. RNAcentral describes it as "long non-coding RNA (ESAL_LNC001173)". The record is from RNAcentral. Lineage: Eukaryota; Viridiplantae; Streptophyta; Magnoliopsida; Brassicales; Brassicaceae.